CCUACGGGGUGCUGCAGUGGGGAAUAUUGGACAAUGGGCGAAAGCCUGAUCCAGCCAUGCCGCGUGUGUGAAGAAGGCCUUCGGGUUGUAAAGCACUUUCAGUGGGGAAGAAAGCCUUGGGGCUAAUACCCUCGAGGAAGGACAUCACCCACAGAAGAAGCACCGGCUAACUCCGUGCCAGCAGCCGCGGUAAUACGGAGGGUGCGAGCGUUAAUCGGAAUUACUGGGCGUAAAGCGCGCGUAGGCGGUCUGAUAAGCCGGUUGUGAAAGCCCCGGGCUCAACCUGGGAACGGCAUCCGGGCGGUGCGGGUGCGGUGCGGGAGAGUCGGGACAGAUUCCGGGUGUGGCGGCGGCAUGCGCGGAGAACGGGAAGGAUGGUAGGAGAGAAGGCGGCAAUCAGGCCUGACACUGACGAUGAUGUGCGAAAGCCUAGGUAGCAACCAGGAUUAGAUGCCCCUAUAGG
Molecule: ribosomal RNA, 463 nt
Filed under: Vreelandella stevensii
Lineage: Bacteria; Pseudomonadati; Pseudomonadota; Gammaproteobacteria; Oceanospirillales; Halomonadaceae
Description: partial 16S ribosomal RNA
Rfam family: Bacterial small subunit ribosomal RNA
Source: RNAcentral